Molecule: long non-coding RNA, 385 nt
Organism: Dicentrarchus labrax (European seabass)
Lineage: Eukaryota; Metazoa; Chordata; Actinopteri; Moronidae
Exons: 3
Source: RefSeq, a predicted model, not a curated record
GUCAGUGUGUGUUACCUGUACAGGUGGUUCUAUGUGGAUCCAGUCAGUGUGUGUUACCUGUACAGGUGGUUCUAUGUGGAUCCAGUGAGUGUGUGUUACCUGUACAGGUGGUUCUAUGUGGAUCCAGUCAGUGUGUGUUACCUGUACAGGUGGUUCUAUGUGGAUCCAGUCAGUGUGUGUUACCUGUACAGGUGGUUCUAUGUGGAUCCAGUCAGUGUGUGUUACCUGUACAGGUGGUUCUAUGUGGAUCCAGUCAGUGUGUGUUACCUGUACAGGUGGUUCUAUGUGGAUCCAGUCAGUGUGUGUUACCUGUACAGGUGGUUCUAUGUGGAUCCAGUCAGUGUGUGUUACCUGUACAGGUGGUUCUAUGUGGAUCCAGUCAGUG